Long non-coding RNA from Nomascus leucogenys (northern white-cheeked gibbon), 1447 nucleotides. RefSeq lists it as uncharacterized. The transcript is spliced from 4 exons. NCBI's taxonomy places the organism in Eukaryota, Metazoa, Chordata, Mammalia, Primates, Hylobatidae. The record is from RefSeq and is a predicted model, not a curated record.
GUGGGGCGCUGACGCGCUCUUCCCCGGAGCCUAUGGCCGCGCAGCCCCGGACGGGGCGUGCUCCCUCCCCCCUCCUCUCGCUUCCAUCUCCGCCGUCUCCUCGGUCUCCCCUCCCACCCCGGCCCCUCCUCCGCCAGCCGCGUCCUCCCGGGCUUGGUGAGGAACUGUUCCUGGAGGAGCCGCGGGACGCCAAAACCAGCCAAUGGGAAGCGGCGAUUCGCGGAGAUUGGCACUGAUGAUGGGAAGGAAUAUUGAUCUCAGCGUUACUUUGACCAUUAAUGAAUUAUGAUGGCAAUAAGCAAAGAUGCGCACCUCUAGCCUCCGGGGAGCUUAAUCUUCUGCUAUAACGUUUGCAUUUGGUGUCUCUCUACUGCUCAGGCUGGAACACAGUGGUGUGAUCAUAGCUCACUGCAGCCUCGACUUCCUGGGCUCAGGUGACCCUCUCGCCUGAAACCAUACUCCCCCUCAAGUAGCUGAAACUACAGAGACAAGGUCUCCCUGUGUUGCCUAGGCUGGUCUUGAACUCCUGGCCUGAAGUGAUCCUCUCACCUUGGACUGCCAAAGUGCUGGGAUUUGGCACCACUGAGCCAAAUCCCAGGCAUGAGCCACUGAGCCUGGCCUGUUCUUCCUUCUUUAUAUGCUUAAAAACCUUCCAAAAUUAUCUCAAGAUUAUCCACUCCAGGAAGAACUUGAGCCUCAUUGAUUGAAUUGGUGUACUUCUCCUCCCUUCCUAUAGCUUUUUCUUUAUGUGUCUAUCCUAGCACGUCUCACACAGUAUUGAAUUCAUCUGUCCACCUGGCUCAUCAUACAAAUUUUUCCAUGAGUUCAAGGAUCAUGCUGCAUGCUGGAUUCCCCAGGAAGCUGAUUCUGAGAUGGAGUUUAGUGUACUAAAUAUUUAUGUGGGCCUUUGGAUCAUCACCUGUGGAAAGGAAGAGAAGGAAGCAGGAAUGGACCUAGGGUGAAGUGAAGCUCUGAUGCAAACCUGACAGCUGCCUCACCUGACACCAUGAAGAGCUCUGGAGCUAGAAUAGCCUUUCAUUGUUCUGAAUUGGUGUGAGGUAGCUAGGUCUUUACACCCCAGCCACCACCCAUUAUUGGGUAUGGGCCAACAAGGAAGGGGCAUGACCAUGAGUGAUGCAGCUCUGCAGCUGAAGCAAUAACUGAAGAGGCUGACAGCUGAGGGCCAUCUGCUGACACUCCCUGCAGCUGGGCAGCACAUCCUUUCUCAAAAGGGGAUCAAGGCAGCUGCAUCUCCGUGUCCGCCAUGGACUAUAUAUUUUUUUUUUUUGCCUUCCUAGGUCCUCCCAUAGUAUAUGGCACAUAGUAGGCAAAACUGGAGGUCUGUAGGGCAAAUUCAGCUAGUAGAUGAGUAUUGUUUUUUCACCCCCAACGGGAUUUUUAAAAAUUAGUUGUCAACAUUUAAAAAUAAAAAGAUUUCACAUUGAAA